Molecule: ribosomal RNA, 646 nt
Filed under: uncultured beta proteobacterium
Lineage: Bacteria; Pseudomonadati; Pseudomonadota; Betaproteobacteria
Description: bacterial SSU rRNA
Rfam family: Bacterial small subunit ribosomal RNA
Source: RNAcentral
GAGUUUGAUCAUGGCUCAGAUUGAACGCUGGCGGAAUGCUUUACACAUGCAAGUCGAACGGCAGCACGGGUGCUUGCACCUGGUGGCGAGUGGCGAACGGGUGAGUAAUACAUAGGAACAUACCCAGUAAUGGGGGAUAACGCCGAGAAAUCGGUGCUAAUACCGCAUACGCCCUACGGGGGAAAGCGGGGGAUCUUCGGACCUCGCGUUAUUGGAUUGGCCUAUGUCUGAUUAGCUAGUUGGUGAGGUAAAGGCUCACCAAGGCUUCGAUCAGUAGCUGGUCUGAGAGGAUGAUCAGCCACACUGGAACUGAGACACGGUCCAGACUCCUACGGGAGGCAGCAGUGGGGAAUUUUGGACAAUGGGCGAAAGCCUGAUCCAGCCAUUCCGCGUGAGUGAAGAAGGCCUUCGGGUUGUAAAGCUCUUUCGGCAGGAACGAAAUGGUCACGGUUAAUAACUGUGACUUCUGACGGUACCUGAAGAAGAAGCACCGGCUAACUACGUGCCAGCAGCCGCGGUAAUACGUAGGGUGCGAGCGUUAAUCGGAAUUACUGGGCGUAAAGCGUGCGCAGGCGGUUUUGUAAGUCAGAUGUGAAAGCCCCGGGCUUAACCUGGGAAUGGCGUUUGAAACUACAAGGCUAGAGUG